Long non-coding RNA from Amblyraja radiata (thorny skate), 3027 nucleotides. RefSeq lists it as uncharacterized. The record is from RefSeq and is a predicted model, not a curated record. The transcript has 2 exons. NCBI's taxonomy places the organism in Eukaryota, Metazoa, Chordata, Chondrichthyes, Rajiformes, Rajidae.
AUGUCAAGAUAAGGGGCUUAUGCUCUCUUGGUGGAGUUAAUCAUUGCCUGGUGUUUGCUGGGGGCGUUUUUCUCAAUGUUAUCUAGUUUGCGGCAUAGAAUGCCUCAUUAUCAGGAGCAUUGCAAAUGGAGCUGAAUCUCAUCAGUAGAUAUCUGCGCUUCUGAGCUCAAGACGGAAGGCAGCCUCUAGAUGAAGCAGGCAGAGGACAGCUCAUUACAAGGUAUGACUUCUGCCAUGUUAUCAUUCACCAGAGGUGUUGCCAGCGUUUGUCUUCAAGGAUGUGUUGGGCCUUAAAGUUGUAGAUGAGGGGAGGGAAUGCACUUCGGCUGAUGGCUCAUAGUGCACCUGUUCUGAACAGAUGGCUGUGUUACAAUCGAGGUGUUUGCUGUGCUAUUUCAGAGUCUGAAGUCACAUCUAGGCCAGUGUCUAACUCAAUCGGCCCCUGCUGUGAAGGUGUGUGGCUGGGGCAAAUUAGAGGGAGGUUAACUCUACAAACUAUCCUGUCCCCACUCUGGGAAUGGGUGACAGAACAUGUGUGGAGGGAAGCUUUGCCCUGCCUAUCUUUUUCUGCCCCUGCCCAAUGAGAAGGGAGGGGAAAGGUUUACAGACAUGACAGUGUAGAGGGAGCUUUGCACCAUAACUAAUCUAUUCUCUACCCGCCCCUGGGGAGGAUAGUGUGUUUGCUGACAAAACAGUGUAGAGAGAGUUUCACUUUGUAAUCUAGCCUGCGGUCCUUGUUCUAGAAGUGUUUGAAGGAACAGUUUAAGGGAGGUUUAUUGUAUCCAAAUGUGUGGUCAUAACUUCUGAGGCAAGCUUUUUAUCCCAGACCUAUUUAAUGAACUGAAAUUUAAAUUGCACAGUGUGCAUUUACAUAAGCACUUUGUUUUUCAAACAUUUGUUCCAGGGUUCAGACUCUUUGGUCAAACUAAGAAAGCAAAUGUUCUUGUAACUCCUGAUCCAGGAGAUGUUAUUUCUGCCUCUCUGUGGCCUGCCCUCUGGGGAGGCAUUCCAGUUCUUCGUGUUGCAGGACAGGCACAACCGGUGAUCCUUGUGCUUUCACGGGGCCAGUGGAAACAUCCCUGUGAAGCUUUGAGGUAAGGACUGCAGGAAAAUCAGAAUUCCCUUAUCCAGAAGAGGAGUACGAUGAGGGCAAGCCACCUGCAGUUCAGAGCAAUCUGCUGGCACUGGGGCCUUCCAUAUUAAGUGUUAGUAACUGGCUGCUGCUGUUCAUUGUAGUGCAUCCCCCUCCACUGGGCACUCAUUGUAUUUACUCUUCCCAGGGAAUAAUCCACCCUCCUCCUGGCUCACAACACCAGUGCAGAGGACUAAUGGAUUAACUGCUGCGUUAAAUCUGCAUGUGAAUUCAUGUCUGGUCAGACCUCAACUCCCAGGAACUAGUAAUGGUCCAGCGAUUAAAGAUAUUCUCAUGUUGCCACCCUCUUGAGCUCUGCCUUACUGCCUUGCAGUUUUAAACUUCCUCUGAAUGUUGUUCCAUUGUUGGUGCUGAUGACCAGAUUCCAUUACCACGACCGGUGGCGGUCCCCUGUCUGAUAUUAACUCGCAUGAAAUGGAAGAAGGUUGGUAUGUCACUGCAGCAGACCAUUGGGAAAGACCGGCACAAAAAGCUGGAGCAACUCCGCGGGACAGGCAGCAUCUCUGGAGAGAAGGAAUGGUUGACGUUUCGGCUUGAGAUCCUUCUUCAGACUGGGAAGGACAGAUUACACGCUGGUCUUUGGCUGCGAGGGGCUUGGAUUAUGAGAGUCCUCCACGGUUGGGCAGGAUUCGCUGAGACCUUGGCUGUGUACAAUGUUGGUCUCCUUAUCUCAGAAGUAACUCAACAAAGGUUCAAUGUGCAGACACAACGAUACUGAUAUCUUGAGCCAUGCACAAAGUGCUGGAGGAACUCAGUGGGUCAAGUAGCAUCUGUGAAGGGAAUGGACAGGCACCGUUUUGGGUCGGGAAUCUUCCAGAGUUGCAGGAAGUGCCUUGACCUGAAAUGUCCCUGUCUGUUCCUUCCACAGAGGGUGCCUGACCCCCUGGAUUCCUCCAGCACUUUGUGUUUUGUUCAAUGUGCAGAAGCUGAAGUAGGUCAUACGGUCCUUCAAUGCCCUACCAUCUAGUAUUAUGGCUCUUGUGUUCCUUCAUUGCCACGUACCUGUGUUCAUGGCAACCCUUAGUUAAUACCUAGAUAUCUUCUCCAUUCUUUGGAGCCAUAAACGUGAUGAUGUUUUCAUUUUUGAUUUUCUUCUCAUUCCUCUAUGGCCUAAAAUAAAUAUGUAUGGUUCGAUGAAAUCCCCGAGAGUGGUGUAGAUUCGUGUGUGGAGGAGUGAGUUUGGACUUUCCCCUCUGCCCUACCGACAGGAACAGUUGAGAAACAACAGCGAGAGGAGUCAGCCACGUGAAUACGUCGAUCCCGUCUGGCCGCUCUGCAAAGCCAAGGUUGCUCUGGUCUUGUCUUGGCCGCAGCUCCACUUUUACAACCUGUAUGCGUAUGAAUCGGAAGGAUUCAGAGAGCUGUGGGCCAAAUGCAGGCAAAUGAGACUACCCCAGGAUGCCACUUGGUCGGCAUGGAUAAGGUGGGUUGAGGGAGCCUGUUUCCAUGCUGUAUGGCUCUGAGGUCUCCCUUCCCCGAAGCCCUCCCUCCAGCACACCUAAAACUCACAUUGGCGACCUGUUGAUUUGUGGCUCUUAAAAUCUAAUAUGUGGAGCAAACACGUUCUUACAUUGGUGAUUUCCCAAAAUUAGCCACACUGUUACACCCACACCCCACAGACAACCACAUUCCUACACAUCCCACACAGACCAUCCAUGCACACCAUCCUACCUUUUAACACAGCGCCACAUAGCACUCUUGCUUUGGUUUCCGUGGCAGUUGCAAGAUAUAUGCAUCAGAGGUUAAUAGUCUUCGAUAUUGUAUUUAAAUGCUUUAAAUCCAAAUCCCUUGAGUGAGUAAAGGGACUUUGAAAAUGUAGAUAAAUUGUAAGUGCAACUGUUUUAUGUGAUAAUAAAGAUGAUUUUAUAUAUAUA